AGGGCGAGCUACCCACGCAAUGGGAGUGCGAAUCUCGAAAGCCUGGUCUCAGUUCGGAUUGGAGGCUGAAACCCGCCCUCCAUGAAGUUGGAUUCGCUAGUAAUCGCGCAUCAGCCAUGGCGCGGUGAAUACGUUCCCGGGCCUUGUACACACCGCCCGUCAAGCCAUGGGGAGGCCGGGGGGUGCCUGAAGUUCGUGACCGCAAGGAGCGACCUAGGGCAAAACUGGUGACUGGGGCUAAGUCGUAACAAGGUACC
Molecule: ribosomal RNA, 257 nt
Filed under: uncultured bacterium
Lineage: Bacteria
Description: partial 16S ribosomal RNA
Rfam family: Bacterial small subunit ribosomal RNA
Source: RNAcentral